UUAGUACUCCCUCCGUCCGAAAAUACUUGUCCUACAAAUGGAUGUAUCUAGACUUAUUUUAGUUAUAGAUACAUUGAUUUUAUUCAUUUUUAGGACAAGUAAUUUUGGACGGAGGGAGUACAUG
Non-coding RNA from Hordeum vulgare subsp. vulgare (domesticated barley), 124 nucleotides. Lineage: Eukaryota; Viridiplantae; Streptophyta; Magnoliopsida; Poales; Poaceae. The record is from Rfam.